CCUACGGGGGGCAGCAGUGAGGAAUAUUGGUCAAUGGGCGGAAGCCUGAACCAGCCAAGUAGCGUGCAGGAUGACGGCCCUACGGGUUGUAAACUGCUUUUAUACGGGAAUAACGCGCCUUACGUGUAGGGCUUUGCAUGUACCGUAUGAAUAAGGACCGGCUAAUUCCGUGCCAGCAGCCGCGGUAAUACGGAAGGUCCGGGCGUUAUCCGGAUUUAUUGGGGUUAAAGGGAGCGUAGGCCGAGUGUCAAGCGUGCUGUGAAAUGUUCGGGCUCAACCCGGGCCUUGCAGCGCGAACUGGGGUGCUUGAGUGCGCGGAAAGCAGGCGGAAUUCGUCGUGUAGCGGUGAAAUGCUUAGAUAUGACGAAGAACCCCGAUUGCGAAGGCAGCUUGCUGCAGCGGAACUGACGCUGAUGCUCGAAAGCGCGGGUAUCGAACAGGAUUAGAUACCCGGGUAGUC
Molecule: ribosomal RNA, 460 nt
Filed under: uncultured bacterium
Lineage: Bacteria
Description: partial 16S ribosomal RNA
Rfam family: Bacterial small subunit ribosomal RNA
Source: RNAcentral